AACACAUGCCAGUCGAGCGCAGUCCUUCGGGACCGAGCGGCGGACGGGUUAGUAACGCGUGGGAACAUACCCUUUUCUACGGAAUAGCCUCGGGAAACUGAGAGUAAUACCGUAUAAGCCCUUCGGGGGAAAGAUUUAUCGGGAAAGGAUUGGCCCGCGUUAGAUUAGAUAGUUGGUGGGGUAAUGGCCUACCAAGUCUACGAUCUAUAGCUGGUUUUAGAGGAUGAUCAGCAACACUGGGACUGAGACACGGCCCAGACUCCUACGGGAGGCAGCAGUGGGGAAUCUUAGACAAUGGGCGCAAGCCUGAUCUAGCCAUGCCGCGUGUGUGAUGAAGGUCUUAGGAUCGUAAAGCACUUUCGCCAGGGAUGAUAAUGACAGUACCUGGUAAAGAAACCCCGGCUAACUCCGUGCCAGCAGCCGCGGUAAUACGGAGGGGGUUAGCGUUGUUCGGAAUUACUGGGCGUAAAGCGUACGUAGGCGGAUCAGAAAGUUAGGGGUGAAAUCCCGAGGCUCAACCUCGGAACUGCCUCUAAAACUCCUGGUCUUGAGUUCGAGAGAGGUGAGUGGAAUUCCAAGUGUAGAGGUGAAAUUCGUAGAUAUUUGGAGGAACACCAGUGGCGAAGGCGGCUCACUGGCUCGAUACUGACGCUGAGGUACGAAAGUGUGGGGAGCAAACAGGAUUAGAUACCCUGGUAGUCCACACCGUAAACGAUGAAUGCCAGUCGUCGGGCAGUAUACUGUUCGGUGACACACCUAACGGAUUAAGCAUCCCGCCUGGGGAGUACGGUCGCAAGAUUAAAACUCAAAGGAAU
RNAcentral lists this ribosomal RNA (815 nucleotides) under Rhodobacteraceae bacterium ACEMC 27-9. RNAcentral's name for it is "bacterial SSU rRNA". It matches the Rfam family "Bacterial small subunit ribosomal RNA", at positions 50 to 910 of the family's 1533-position model. The record is from RNAcentral. Lineage: Bacteria; Pseudomonadati; Pseudomonadota; Alphaproteobacteria; Rhodobacterales; Paracoccaceae.